RNAcentral lists this ribosomal RNA (465 nucleotides) under uncultured bacterium. RNAcentral's name for it is "partial 16S ribosomal RNA". It matches the Rfam family "Bacterial small subunit ribosomal RNA", at positions 338 to 795 of the family's 1533-position model. The record is from RNAcentral.
CCUACGGGUGGCAGCAGUGGGGAAUAUUGCGCAAUGGGCGAAAGCCUGAUGCAGCGACGCCGCGUGAGGGAUGAAGGUCUUCGGAGCGUAAACCUCUGUCAGCAGGGAAGAACGGGCACUGUGCUAGUCAGCAGUGCAUUGACGGUACCUGCAAAGGAAGCCGCGGCUAACUCCGUGGCAGCAGCCGCGUUAAUACGGAGGGUGCGUGAGUUAGGCGGAAUUGCUGGGCGAAAGGCGCUCGUAGGCGGUAUGUCAAGUCAAGGGUGAAAUCCCCGCGCUCAACGUGGGAACGGCCUUUGAAACUGGCAAACUGGAGUGUGUGAGAGGAUAGUGGAAUUCCAGGUGUAGGAGUGAAAUCCGUAGAUAUCUGGAGGAACAUCAGUGGCGAAGGCGACUAUCUGGCACAUAACUGACGCUGAGGAGCGAAAGCGUGGGUAGCAAACAGGAUUAGAUACCCCUGUAGUC